Molecule: ribosomal RNA, 245 nt
Filed under: uncultured bacterium
Lineage: Bacteria
Description: partial 16S ribosomal RNA
Rfam family: Bacterial small subunit ribosomal RNA
Source: RNAcentral
UACGUAGGGGGCAAGCGUUGUCCGGAUUCAUUGGGCGUAAAGAGCUCGUAGGCGGUUCGGUAAGUCAGGUGUGAAAUCUCCACGCUCAACGUGGAGCGGCCACCUGAUACUGCCGUGACUCGAGUCCGGUAGGGGAGUAUGGAAUUCCCGGUGUAGCGGUGAAAUGCGCAGAUAUCGGGAGGAACACCAGUGGCGAAGGCGGUACUCUGGGCCGGAACUGACGCUGAGGAGCGAAAGCGUGGGGA